Molecule: ribosomal RNA, 305 nt
Filed under: uncultured bacterium
Lineage: Bacteria
Description: bacterial SSU rRNA
Rfam family: Bacterial small subunit ribosomal RNA
Source: RNAcentral
ACCUACGGGGCGCAGCAGUGGGGAAUAUUGCACAAUGGGGGAAACCCUGAUGCAGCGACGCCGCGUGAAGGAAGAAGUAUUUCGGUAUGUAAACUUCUAUCAGCAGGGAAGAAAAUGACGGUACCUGACUAAGAAGCCCCGGCUAACUACGUGCCAGCAGCCGCGGUAAUACGUAGGGGGCAAGCGUUAUCCGGAUUUACUGGGUUUAAAGGGUGCGUAGGCGGAAUGCCAAGUCAGCGGUAAAAUCGCGGGGCUCAACCUCGCUCCGCCGUUGAAACUGGCGUUCUUGAGUGGGCGAGAAGUAU